AGAGAGAGACAUGCGCGCAUAUCAAUAAGCGGAGGAAAAGAAACUAACUAGGAUUCCCUCAGUAACGGCGAGUGAAGCGGGAAGAGCUCAAAUUUGAAAUCUUCAAGGUUCUACCUUGACGAAUUGUAGUUUAAAGAAGUGUUUUCUGUUGGAGUUUUGGUAAAAGUUCUUUGGAAUAGGACAUCAUAGAGGGUGAGAAUCCCGUAUUUGACCAUUUACUUUCAGCUUUGUGAUACACUUUCAAAGAGUCGGAUUGUUUGGGAAUGCAGUCCAAAAUGGGUGGUAAAUUUCAUCUAAAGCUAAAUAUUGGUGAGAGACCGAUAGCGAACAAGUACCGUGAGGGAAAGAUGAAAAGAACUUUGAAAAGAGAGUUAAACAGUACGUGAAAUUGUCAAAAGGGAAGCGUUUGACACCAGUGUUGUUUUCUCGAAAAUCAAUUAAAAAGAGUUAGGAUUUUGUUGUGUAUUGACCUUAUCAGCUUUGCAUUCAUUUUCUUGUCUUUUUUAAUGCACUUUUCGUUUAACAAGUCAACAUCAAGUUUCUUUUGUUGUAAAAGGGUCAUUGGAAGGUGGCUUUCUUUUCGGAGAAAGUGUUUAUAGCCUUUGGCCUCUGCAAUCGGAGAGAUUGAGGUCUGCAGCGUAGAUCCUUCGGGGUUAGAUACAUUUGUGCUAAGUUAUAGCCUUUCAUAGACAACUUGUUGACUAUGAUCAGUCAUGUAGCUUACUCGCUUAUGCUAUUUUACCUACGCUUAGGAUAUUGAUGUGAUACUGCGAGCA
Molecule: ribosomal RNA, 776 nt
Filed under: uncultured Neocallimastigales
Lineage: Eukaryota; Fungi; Neocallimastigomycota; Neocallimastigomycetes; Neocallimastigales
Description: partial large subunit ribosomal RNA
Rfam family: Eukaryotic large subunit ribosomal RNA
Source: RNAcentral